Homo sapiens (human) is the source of this 9276-nucleotide long non-coding RNA. RefSeq annotates it as long independently transcribed non-coding RNA 3237. The record is from RefSeq and is a predicted model, not a curated record. The transcript has 7 exons. NCBI's taxonomy places the organism in Eukaryota, Metazoa, Chordata, Mammalia, Primates, Hominidae.
UGAUUUUAUGCUAGUUUCAUUCCCUUUAAAUACAAAAUUUGCUUUUUUAUCUGAAAAAUGUUCUCAGGCCCAUGUGAUUUUUACAUACAACAAUUUAAAAUUCUUUCAUAGCUCCUCAUUGUAAACCUCAUAGGAAACCUAUACUCUGUAUCAAACGUAAAUGGCAUUCCAUUAGCUGGCCUCUGUCCACUUCUUCAUAUACACUGUGCCUGUGCUACUAACCCAUCACACCCAAGUUCCUUUGUACAGUUCUUUAAAUGCACCGUUCUCCUACAAACCUCUCAUUUGUCUCUGAGGUUGGACUUUACUCCUUCUUCCCCUGGCCUUUCCCUAUUCAUAUACUUAAAUUUAAAUUAUCAAAAUCUCUUGACUAAUUAAUAUUUCCACCAUAAUAUUAAGUGUGUGAACAUUGAGAUGUUAUUACAAGAUUACUGUUGGUGCGAUUGUUUUGAAGGAAAGUUUUCCCAAAGCCAAACUCCCCAAAGGGACUUAAAUCAGGGUUCAACAAAGAGUAAGUGAUAUUAAAUAUUUAAUCUUAAUAUAUAUACAUAUAUGUGUAUAUAUAUGUGUGUGUGUAUAUAUAUAUGUGUAUAUAUAUAUGUGUGUGUAUACAUAUAUAUAUGAGACUGACAUUUUAUAGUUUGAAUUGAAAAUAUUUUACAUGGAUUUAAAGUUGCCAAUGAGGUGAUUAUCUGGAACCCAUUUUCAAAUCCUCUUUUUUUUGUGAAAUGAUUUGAGACACAGAAAAAUACCCCAUAGCUUUCCUUCACAGUGCCUGCCUCUGCCAAGUCUCUCCUGACCCCCAUAGACAGACUUAGCUGCCACACUCCUGUUGCUUUCCUUUGUAAUUGCUUAUAUGUUUGCUGUCUUUCUAACUUCUGCAAGCCUAAUCUCUUCCUCUCAGUUAUCUUGUUGUGUAAUAGUGCCUGGGAUGCAGCAAGCAACCAAGACAUUGCUUAUUAAAGGAAUCAUUGCAGGAUUUAAUAUAUACUACAUAGACACACUUGGUAGUAUCUGAGUUUGAUUUUUGUUGAUUGAGUAACUUAUCCUUACGUAGAGAUGCUGAAUAUCAGCUGUUAGAGAAUAGUCUGGCAAAUGGAACACGAUUGUGAUUGUGAUUUGAUGGGCAAAUGUCGUGUUAAUCUUUUUGUUUUCUGGCUGAUAGUUAAAUCUCUAGUACUGUACAUCAAAAGUGUCACAGCUAAGCAAUCUGAGGGAUUAAAUGACUCCUCAUAAUUUCUGUGUUGUUAAAUAGCAGAAGGAUAUUAUCUAAUCACUGUUGUCAGUGUAUGCUGGUGAACUCUUAUGGAAAACAUUUUCUUUUCUACUUUGAAAGCAUUAGGAAACACACUCAAAUUACAUUUUAAAAUGUUGUUUUCUGGAGUACACAAACAAUCUAUUUCAGUGCUAUUUCACUGUCAGUCAUUUCAAGUAUUUUACUAUAAACGCCCCAGUAGUGGUCACCUUUUAUAUUCAGGGCUUGUGUGUGUGUGUGAAUUGCUUCUGUGAUAACUCUUACAAAAUUAAUUUUUGAAUUAUUUGCUGUUUUGUCAUGACAGCUACAUAUGUAUGUUGUCGUUAUGUCUGAACACUAAUAGAUGCUUAAGAUUUUGUUGGCUUAAUUAUUUCUGAUAGCAUUUCUAAUGAUACUAUGUAAAACUCAUAUAACCCUCUACAUUUUACCUCUGGCUAAACAUUAGGCCUCCUUUUCUUGUCUCGUGUUUCCCAUUAAGUUUUCAAAAGCUAAAAAGGCCCAUUUUCUCUUUUAAAUGACUCAUUAUUGGAAACAGUUUCAAAGAGAACUGUGUAGCAGUUAAGAAAGGAAAGGUAUGAGAUAUCUCUUACUGUCUCUUACAGGUUUAUUCAGCAAGAAUACUUGACUUUCUGUCUCUUACAGGUUUACUCAGAAAGAAUACUUGAAAAUAGAUUACACAUAAUUACUUCACAAGGAGCUUUUUAAAAUCCAAUUACAAGAUUUCUAAUUUAAGUGAAAAAAUGGGAAAAAAAUAAGCUCCAGUCUCACUUAAAUCCAUUGUGCUAUUUUGCAGAAUAUCAAGUCCAUCUUGGGAGUUUAACUGUGGGAGGACUUUGUAAUAGCACUGUCUCCCUAUAACAGGAUUCCACAGAUAGCAUUAUGAUGAGACUCCUGUAUGUGUUCAUUUAAUUUCAGGGGUUGCUGCACUAAACAAUAAACCAAAUUUGAGAGCCUGAAUCCGGAUGUAUCUUGUCAGUUUCUUUCCCAGUCAGUUCAAUCAAAUGUCAUUCUAUUCAAUUGAAUAUACACAGGGUGAAUUUCAAGUAAGAGAAAAUUUAACUUGAGUGACAGAUUUUCUCUAAAAGUUGCUUUUGUUUGAUUUCAUCUUUUUUUCCUUUCUUUACUGUGAAACCACACAAUGAAAUGGAAAUCAGGAUGUCGAUUCUGUUGCUGCUGCAGCUUUCUGCUUCUGACUUAGGCUUUUGCAUGAGUAAAAGUAGUUGCUUCAUAUAUUCCUCAUGUGGAUGUGCAGGAUGUGCCCUGUACAAAAAUCCAGGAAGCACUGUUUACAGAGACCAUUAUGUGCAUGACUACAACUAGAGUUUUAUGUUGCCCAUCUUGGAUGACUGUAAACAGAAGACCGCUGAGCUUCCUCAAUUUGAAAGAGGUAUUUUCUUCCUGCUUUCUUUCAAAGGAAUGCAAAGAAUGAGAAUGACAGAAGUUUUGAUUUGUGAUUUAGGCACUAUCUGAAGGCACUUUAGGGAAUGUGAGCCCUGAACUGAUACAUUGUGACCCUAGGUACAGAAAUUACUUAAAUUCUCUGGGCCUUAGUUUUCUGAUCUGUGAAAUAUAAAUAAUAAUAUCUGUUCUAUUGAUGCAGGAUUUUUUGCUCCUCAGCUCAGCUAAAUCUGGGUUCUUGUCUCACAACGAGGAAAAAUUACGCACAUGGACACACUAAAAGGAGAUGUUUCUUUUGUGUAUCUUGCUGUUUUGGUAGUCACCUGUUUGCAGUGGCACCAUUGAAUCUAUCUUCAAGAAGCUGAGAAAGCAGAAACCUGGGAAUUAAUGGAUUCAGUAUUAUAAAUCAACUUGGAUGGAGCUGGAGACCAUUAUUCUAAGUGAAGUAACUCAGAAAUAGAAAACCAAACACCAUAUGUUCUCACUUUUAAGUGGGAGCUAAGCUAUGGGUAUGCGAAGGCAUACAGAACGGUAUAAUGGACACUGGAGAGUCAAAAGCAGCCGACUUGGAGGGGAUGAGGAAUAAUAUUGGGUAUGAUGCACACUGUUCAGAUCAGGAAAUCCUGAGAGUUGUCAUGAAACCCUCUGCCACAUUUCCAAUAUUUUAUUAGUAGGGAAAUAGUGAAAAUGAAUGGAUCUGACAGACACAAGCAAUUGAGAGUAUGGCCUAAAGAAAAAAAAUCCACUGAACAUCAUGCAAUUAGAAGUGCCAUUAGGAAAGGGGUCAAUGGAUUGGCUGGAGAAAGCUGGAAGCUUGAAAUGACUGUCUACAAGGUGAUCAAGAACACAGCACCUGGAUGAAGGGAGGAGCAAGAGGAAAGGUGGUGACAGUAAGCAAGGAGAGCAAACCUUCAGAGGGCUAAGGGGAAGCCCUUCACCCCUACAGUUUUGGCACUGUGAACAGGAUCUCAUCAAAGCUGCUCUGCUUUUCAGGGAGCCACAGUGAAAGAAACCCAGGACCUGACAAGCCAACAGAAAGGUAAGAAUUUUUACCAGCCAGGCUCCUGGUCUCUCUUCCUGUGGAAUUUGACUGAGCUGACGCUAAAAACCCACUAUUUGUCUCUCUUUUUCUCUGCAAAGUUCUGAUUAAUAGGAGAAAAAAAUUUGUGUGAGUAGUCUUGGGUAUAGCAAUGCUGGUAUAUUUUAUGGUAUAAAUAUUCAUAUUGUUUGAUUCCUAUCAUACCCAAAACAGACUAUGUUGGUUAAUACUGAGUGUCAACUUAAUUGGAUUGAAGGAUGAAAAGGGUUGUUCCUGGGUGUAUCUGUGAGGGUAUUGCCAAAAGAGAUUAACAUUUGAGUCACUGAAUUGGGAAAUGCAGAACCACCCUCAAUCUGGAUAGGCACAAUCUAAUCAGUUGCCAGUGCAGCUAGAAUAAAAGCAGGCAAAGAAAUGUGGAAAGACUAGACUGGCUUAGUCUUUUGGCCUACAUCUUUCCCCCAUGCUGGAUACUUCCUGCCCUCAAAAAUUGGACUCCAAGUUCUUCAGCUUUUCGGCUCUUGAACCUUCAACCACAGACUGAAGGCUGCACUGUUGGCUUCCCUAUUUUUGAGAUUUUGGGACUCGGACUGUAUUCCUUGCUCCUCAGCUUGCAGAGGGCCUUUUGUGGGUCCUCACCUUGUGAUUGUGUGAGUCAAUACUCCUUAAUAAACUCUCCUUUAUGUAUACAUGUAUCCUAUUAGUUCUGUUCCUCUAGAGAACCUUGACUAAUACACAGUAUUUUCCUUUGUUUUUCCAUGUUGUUCUGUCAUAAAAGGGAUAUUAUAGGGUAAAACACAGGCCUAAAACCACUAUAAUCCCAUUGCUCAAGCUGGCCCUGCAGACCAGUCAGUUUUGCCAUUCUGAUCAGAAUGGUAUAUAAAAUUUGCUGUCUGUCCCCAAAAUAAAAACUGGAUGAGUUUCCCCUCUUGUCUUGUUUUAUGUCUUUGAGGGCUUGACUUUUGACACAGUGGGAACACUCUGGCUCUGCACCAUCUAGGGGGAGGGGAAUGAUUUUUGGGUCACAUCUGGUGGCCAAUCUGAAAAGAUUAGGAAUCCAAGACACAUAAGAUUCUAUGCAACACACUCUUUGUUCUGAAUGUGUCAUGCUCUCAGGGGAGCUUGUCUUAAGACAUUCCAUUCCCACGAACUUUUGUCAUCUCAACUCUUGUAGCCUUGUUAGUCCAGGAAAUGUUUAAUCCCAGGAGGGCCUAGCUGGUGUCAUGGAUUGACAGAUCUAUGAUGAGCAGCACCCACAAACUUGUGGGUAACCAGGCCCUGUACACAUAAACACCAUCCUUAACCAUCAGUGGCAACAAGAGACUUUUGCUAUCUUAACCUAUUCUUUGAAGCAAAAGUUCUGGAGAGAGAUCUUUGGGAUUGCCUCUCCUAUGCCUUCUCCAAAAAACAUCAAUUUAGUCUUAUUCUAAACCUAUAAAAUUACACCCUGAGCUUUCUAUGAAGUUGCCACUGGGUUGAGUCACCGUUGGAAUAAGUACACUAUUGGAAAUUCUAAUCAUUAGUGGAUCAUUUACAUUAGACAGACUACUAAAUUACAAAAAAAAGUUUUUAGAGAUCUCUCAUUUUAAAAAAUUGUUUUAUUUAUUUGUAUUUAUGGAGACAUCAAAUUAAUAGAAAAACAUAUAAUAGUGUCAUGAUAGAAAAUCUUUUGACUAAAUUAAAAUGCUAAAAUCUACCUGACCUAAAACAAAGUUAAAAUUCUUUAUAUGCUCAGACUGCCUGCUUUAGACCCCACACAGAACUGACAAUGAAAGCUGCCCUACCUUGUAAUCUAGAAGAUACAAUUCUGUUCCAUCACUAUGGCCUGGAUUCAAUUCCCAGUUAAAGAGCCAGACCCCUUUCAUUUGAUAUUUUCUGACUUUUGCCUUUUGGGAGGACCCAUUUAUUGUUGGGAAGAGGAACGUUGGUAAAAAUAAUAAGGUUCAAAAGCCAGUAAUAUCAGGGAUAUCAACUAUUUAUCCCGGCUAAAAUCUGAUACUUAGAGACUUUUUAAAAGUUUUUUUAAAGUGCUCCUUUGUCAGAAGUCAUAUUAAUUAGAAGCUGAUAUUCAAGGUCUUUCUGAUUUUGGAUCUGUUUUUGAAUUUUUUUUUCAGUUGUCUGAACCCCUUUUUAAGAUUAUGUAAUUUGUCCCUCUGUUUUCUGUUUUUUUUUUAAUUUCCCCCCCAUUUAUUUCUACUCCUUGCCUCUCCUUCCUCUUUGCCAUCUUUGAUACCACAUGAAGAAAUCUAGAAGAGACUUCUAACAACCCUGAAAUACCUAGAAGAAAAUAGAAAAAGACACCACACACACUGAUUCUGGGGUCUUCUCUCUUCUUCCUAGUGGAUCCUGAAAAUCUACUUUGCCCUCGUUUACAGCUUUGCUCUCUUUUGCAUUGAAUCACCUGAUCUCUUUGGCUUUUGGGAGUACCAGGAGUUACUUUGUACUAUAAGAGGAAACCUUUGUAUGUGCAAUGGCUGGUGGGUUACUGGCUAUAGUUUCAGAGGUGGCUGACAGUGGUUGCAAUAAAUAGUUAUUACUGAAAGGGGAUAUGCACUUCUUGGCACCUUAGAUAAGAAAUGGAUGCUUUGAACACUUGAAAUAUAUGGGAGUGCUCACCACCAAUGUAUAAGACUCCCAUGGGCGACGAGCUAAUCAUAGUGGGCUGACUGGCAUUGGGUCAUGCACCAACUUUGUGGGGGAUCUCUUUUUAGUGAGGUAUACUGUGGGAACAUUGCACGGCCUAAUCUCAUGCAUGGUGUUUUCCUCUUUGUGGGGACCUAGAAUCCAGUGUAAAAAUAAAAUCUUUAAUUUAUGUGGAUCUGGGUAUUCUACCUUCCAGUUGUGCCUGCUUUUUAUAUAUUAAAUAUUAGGCCCUAGAAACUGCAAAUGCUUGGUUGACUGUAUUCAUUAAUGGACUCUGCCUUGAGCUCAGGUAUGCAGUUAGAAAACAGACUAAAUUAAAAGCCAUCUAUCUAACUAGAUUGCUCUCCAAAAUAUGACUUUCUGGUAUUCAGCUGGUUAUUUUGAAAAGGUUUUAAAAUUUUCUCUAGAGUCACUUGUCUGUUUUUGUGUAAAAUCCUGUGAUUAAUUUCUAUGAUUUUAUGUUACCUUGGCAUCCAUUUUUAAUCUCCCUCUAACAAAUCCAAACUCCUUCUUAAAAAAUUUUAUUUUUUUCUGUGUCUUGAUAAAGAAAUUUGCUACUCUUUUCUUCUCUAAAACUUGGUGAGUGCGUGGGCCAUAUGAGACAGAUAAACUUUAAUCUUUUCUAUUUACAAAAGCAAAAUCUAAAUCCAACUGCCCUUUUAAACGAGUAAGUUUUACCUGCCUCCUGGAUAAAAUUUUAAAAUAAAAGUUAUAAGUUUUUUUGUGUUUCUCUGUAUUUUUAUGUAUAUAUGUGUAUACAUAUCAUACACAUCUGUUUGUAUAUUAUCUGCAUGAUAUCAAAUUAACUUGUAAGUAUAUGAGUACUCAUAGAUUAAGUAAAUAAUCUCAAAUUCUUUUAAAGUUCACAUGACUUUAGUAAUCUUUGGUAUAUAAAGCCAGUUUUUAAAUUACUGGUAAAAUAUAAUACAAAUGUUUUCAAAAUUUAAUUUAGAGAUUUUUGCCUGGAUAUAUUCGUUUGAUAGGAUUAGAAUGUUUCUGAUAAAUAUUCAGUGAUACUUUUGAUAUUGACUUACUUUGUAAGUUUAUGUCUUGGUUUUAAGCUUUUAGAUUCUGAAGACUAGACUAGUGGCCAGAGUGAGUGUUGGAAAUAGAUACCCAAAGUUCUUCCUGGCCUAGCUGUGCCUCUUGGCCAUGCUAGGAAGGGUUAAGUCCUCCAGACAUUGUCUUCACAACUCUGUUUUUUUGUCCUGAGCUCUGCAUCUGUUACAUAAUUAAAACUGCUUAUUUCCUUAGUUUUCCACCAAAAUUAAGGGUUACUAAGAGUUAACAUUGUAAUUAAUUUAUGCAAUUAAAACUACUAGAUAUGAGAAACAAUUCAAUAUGCAAAAUGUGUAAGAAAGAUGGAAUGUUUUUUAAUAAGGAAGAUUAUUUUUAAAAGGCAUUAAAUGUGGCUUUUGUUAAAGGAAAAAUAAUUUUGUCUUAUUUAGAGGCUAUUUAAAGGUUCUUUUAAAUUCAAAAAAUAUGAAAAAUUGUUAAAACUAAAUGGAUAUUAAAAAGUUUGUAUUUGUCCAUUUUUGUAUUGCUAUAAAGAAAUACCAGGGGCAGGCCAAGAUGGUCAAUUAGAAGCAGCUGAUGUCCACAGUUGUUACAGAGAAGAACAAAAGCAGUGAGUUAAUUCUACACCUUCAACUGAGGUAUCCCGGUUCUCACACUGGGACUGACUAGGUGUUCAGCAUGACCCUUGGACAGUGAGAAAAGGCAGAGUAGGGUGAUGGCCCACCCAUGAGUGGCAUGGAGCCAGAGGAGCCACUACCCCCUGCCAAAGGAGGCAGUGAGUGAUUGACUCUACCCAGGAAACCACACUUUUCCUACAGAUCAUUGAAACCUGCAGAUCAGGAUUCCCUUGUGAGCCUGCACUACCACAGCCUUGGGUAUGAAGCAGAGAGCUGUGCAGACUCUCAGCAGCCACUUGGGCAAGCACGGAGACUCAGGAGUUUUUGCAUACUCCAGCCCUGGUAACUUCAGUGAGGGAGGAGAUCUGUCCAUUCCCCUAGGAAGGGAGCUGAAGCCACAGAGGCACGCAGUGUCAUUCAGUAAGCCCCAUUCCCAUGGCACCUCACAAGUUAAUACCUACUGCCUUGGGAUUCCAGCAAGCCAAGGCCAGCAGGCUGGAGACUGUGUGAGACAACCAAGUUCCUGGGGAGGGUUGGAGGAGGGGUGCCUACCAUCUCUGUGGCUCAAGUCAGCUGUUUUGGCCUGCCAGCUCCAGGGAGUCUGGGCAGUCCAGAAAAGAGAAAUUCCCCACAGUUGCAGCACAGCUACUGUUACAGAUCGUGGUCAGACUGAUUCUUUAAGUGAGACCCCAAUCCAUCCCUCUCACUGGGCCAGGCCAAUCUGCAUGAGUUUUGGCAUCUUGAGUCAGGGUUUUAUGAAACGUUGAUCUCCCUGGAAUGGAGCUUUUUGGGGAGGGGCGGCUGUGGUCUCUACGGUUCAGCUGACUUAGUUUUUUCUGCCUGCUGGCUCUGAAAAGUCUGGGCAAUCUGGAACAGGGGGUUCUUCCUGGAAUAGUGUACCUGCUCUGCCAAGGGGUAGUGAGACUGCUUUUUUAAGUAGGUCCCUUAUCCCAUACCUCCUGACUGGGUGAGACCUCACAGCAGGGGUCUCCAGACGCCUCCUGCAGGAGUAUUCAGGCUGGCAUCAGGUCAGUGCUCCUCUGAGACAGAGCUCCCAGAGGAAGGAGCAGGAAGGCCAUCUUUGCUGUUUUGCAGCUUUCACUGAUGACCCCUCCAGAUGUGAGAGGGAUUCAGGUAAUGGAGUCUGGAAUGGGCCCCCAGAAAAAUGCAGCAGCCUUAGGGAACAGGGGACUAAUUGUCAAAAGAAGAAUAAACAAACAGAAAGCAACAACAACAACAACAUCAACAUAAAACACCCCACAAAAACACCAUUCAAAUGUCAGCAAUCUCAAAGAUUCAAAGGUAGAUAA